UUACCUACGGGACGCAGCAGUGAGGAAUAUUGGUCAAUGGUCGGGAGACUGAACCAGCCAAGCCGCGUGAGGGAUGAAGGUACAGAGUAUCGUAAACCUCUUUUGUCAGGGAACAAAGGCGGGGACGUGUCCCCGGAUGAGUGUACCUGAAGAAAAAGCAUCGGCUAACUCCGUGCCAGCAGCCGCGGUAAUACGGAGGAUGCGAGCGUUAUCCGGAUUUAUUGGGUUUAAAGGGUGCGUAGGCGGGAUGCCAAGUCAGCGGUAAAAAUGCGGUGCUCA
RNAcentral lists this ribosomal RNA (279 nucleotides) under uncultured bacterium. Its description in RNAcentral is "partial 16S ribosomal RNA". It matches the Rfam family "Bacterial small subunit ribosomal RNA", at positions 335 to 611 of the family's 1533-position model. The record is from RNAcentral.